RNAcentral lists this long non-coding RNA (356 nucleotides) under Danio rerio (zebrafish). RNAcentral describes it as "lncRNA si:dkey-51d8.8 (ENSDARG00000096074.3)". Lineage: Eukaryota; Metazoa; Chordata; Actinopteri; Cypriniformes; Danionidae. The record is from RNAcentral.
AAAAAAGACUUUUAUUUUGCCGUGCUGUGUGACGUCAUAAGCCUGCGCCGCUCCUGCGCUGGGAUUCAGCUGGAGAAAGCUUAACAAGGAAAUACCUGGUUAUGCUUCAGAAGAAUCUUCAUCAAGAUCAGAUAUCAGUGAGGAUGAUUACGUGCCAGAUACUGAAGAGUCUGACAGUAACACUUCAGAAAAAGUAGAGAGUUUAGUAAAAAAGAUAAGUAAUAAUAAGAAAAAGGUAAAGUCAACUUCAAAUGUUCCAGCAUGUAAAAAAAGACGUGCGUCUCCUUCACAAUCCUCUGUAUCUGACAAACAGGACACUUCACUUCAAUCUUCUUCAUCAGGAGAACAUGAAGAAU